RNAcentral lists this unclassified non-coding RNA (459 nucleotides) under plant metagenome. Its description in RNAcentral is "partial contains small subunit ribosomal RNA and internal transcribed spacer 1". The stretch from base 1 to 46 matches the Rfam family "Eukaryotic small subunit ribosomal RNA", at positions 1786 to 1831 of the family's 1831-position model. The record is from RNAcentral.
AAGUCGUAACAAGGUCUCCGUAGGUGAACCUGCGGAGGGAUCAUUAACACGUUCCAAACCAAUUAUCAACCCAACUGUGAACUCCUUGUCUCUGCCUACUGUCGUAGUCAGUGUUGUGGUGCGUGCUGAGAUCCUGGAUGAAGGUGAAGAGAUGUUGACCGAGUCUCGCAGGAGACUCCAGUCCUCUCUUCAUACGGGUCGAGCUGCGCUUCAUGAGCUCUCGAAUUCGUUCGGGAGGUCAGCCAUCCUGACUAUGACGAGGCCCAACACAUAUACGAGCAGCGAUGGGGUCAUCCACUGCCGCUCGCAUAUCCACACGACCCUUGCUGCAAGUGGGCUAUACUCUCCCCUUCUAGCAUUGAAGAUUCAAUCAUUGAUACAACACAUGGUCGUCUCUUGCAGAUGUGCCUUGUGGUCCUGACCCUCUUUACAGAGGCGCUCAGUGUAACCAAUAUGAUA